AGUGAACGCUGGCGGUAGGCCUAACACAUGCAAGUCGAACGGCAGCACAGUAAGAGCUUGCUCUUACGGGUGGCGAGUGGCGGACGGGUGAGGAAUACAUCGGAAUCUACUUUUUCGUGGGGGAUAACGUAGGGAAACUUACGCUAAUACCGCAUACGACCUACGGGUGAAAGCAGGGGAUCUUCGGACCUUGCGCGAUUGAAUGAGCCGAUGUCGGAUUAGCUAGUUGGCGGGUUAAAGGCCCACCAAGGCGACGAUCCGUAGCUGGUCUGAGAGGAUGAUCAGCCACACUGGAACUGAGACACGGUCCAGACUCCUACGGGAGGCAGCAGUGGGGAAUAUUGGACAAUGGGCGCAAGCCUGAUCCAGCCAUACCGCGUGGGUGAAGAAGGACUUCGGGUUGUAAAGCCAUUUUGUUGGGAAAGAAAAGCAGCAGGUUAAUACCCCGCUGUUCUGACGGUACCCAAAGAAUAAGCACCGGCUAACUCCGUG
This 492-nucleotide ribosomal RNA is filed under the name uncultured bacterium. RNAcentral's name for it is "partial 16S ribosomal RNA". It matches the Rfam family "Bacterial small subunit ribosomal RNA", at positions 29 to 507 of the family's 1533-position model. The record is from RNAcentral.